AAGCAGUGGCUGGUGUCAUAGGGCCAGCAGAUGAUGAAGCAGUGGCAGGUGUCAUUGGGCCAGCAGAUGAUGAAGCAGUGGCAGGUGUCAUAGGGCCAGCAGAUGAUGAAGCAGUGGCAGGUGUCAUAGGGCCAGCAGAUGAUGAAGCAGUGGCAGGUGUCAUAGGGCCAGCAGAUGAUGAAGCAGUGGCUGGUGUCAUAGGGCCAGCAGAUGAUGAAGCAGUGGCAGGUGUCAUAGGGCCAGCAGAUGAUGAAGCAGUGGCAGGUGUCAUAGGGCCAGCAGAUGAUGAAGCAGUGGCAGGUGUCAUAGGGCCAGCAGAUGAUGAAGCAGUGGCAGGUGUCAUAGGGCCAGCAGAUGAUGAAGCAGUGGCAGGUGUCAUAGGGCCAGCAGAUGAUGAAGCAGUGGCAGGUGUCAUAGGGCCAGCAGAUGAUGAAGCAGUGGCAGGUGUCAUUGGGCCAGCAGAUGAUGAAGCAGUGGCAGGUGUCAUAGGGCCAGCAGAUGAUGAAGCAGUGGCUGGUGUCAUUGGGCCAGCAGAUGAUGAAGCAGUGGCUGGUGUCAUUGGGCCAGCAGAUGAUGAAGCAGUGGCAGGUGUCAUAGGGCCAGCAGAUGAUGAAGCAGUGGCUGGUGUCAUUGGGCCAGCAGAUGAUGAAGCAGUGGCUGGUGUCAUAGGGCCAGCAGAUACUGAAGCAGUGGCUGUUGCCGGAGCAGCUGAUGGUAUCUUUUCCACAAGUAAUGAACAAUGUGCUGGGAUGGUCUCUAGCAAUACUGAUAAAGCGUGUAUCUACAAAGAAUAUGAAUUUAAGGGUAAUUAAUAAAUUGUUUUAAUAAGAAUAUAAAAGUUUUUGCCAAAAACAUACAGGCCAGUCAAUAUUUCACUGCUGCUUGACUGUUGCUGCUGUCCUAUCCCUAGCACAUCAUGUCAAUGCUGAAUGGCUCUGGUACCCCUUCAAAUACAUGAGACGAGCAGCCUAUGAUGUCAUACACCAGUUUAUUUGCCACAGUUAAUGUCAUAGUUAUAUAGGCAGGCGCCUGCGUAUCUGUGGUGCCACACGUGUGGGGCACUCAGGUGCUGGGGGAAAUGUCAUUGUUAUGAAGGGGCAGGGGUAAACCAGUGUAUGCUGUGAGGCCUUAGUGUGGAAGUUCCCUGUUUGAACUGUGCAGCUAAUCCC
Long non-coding RNA from Eriocheir sinensis (Chinese mitten crab), 1169 nucleotides. RefSeq lists it as uncharacterized. The transcript is spliced from 4 exons. The record is from RefSeq and is a predicted model, not a curated record. NCBI's taxonomy places the organism in Eukaryota, Metazoa, Arthropoda, Malacostraca, Decapoda, Varunidae.